AGAUUGUAACCUUGGGGUUGGCUCUUGUCUAUGUUUCUUGGAACAGGACGUCACAGAGGGUGAGAAUCCCGUGCGAUGAGAUGCCCAAUCCUAUGUAAGGUGCUUUCGAAGAGUCGAGUUGUUUGGGAAUGCAGCUCUAAGUGGGUGGUAAAUUCCAUCUAAAGCUAAAUAUUGGCGAGAGACCGAUAGCGAACAAGUACAGUGAUGGAAAGAUGAAAAGAACUUUGAAAAGAGAGUGAAAAAGUACGUGAAAUUGUUGAAAGGGAAGGGUUUGAGAUCAGACUCGAUAUUUUGUGAGCCUUGCCUUCGUGGCGGGGUGACCCGCAGCUUAUCGGGCCAGCAUCGGUUUGGGCGGUAGGAUAAUGGCGUAGGAAUGUGACUUUACUUCGGUGAAGUGUUAUAGCCUGCGUUGAUGCUGCCUGCCUAGACCGAGGACUGCGAUUUUAUCAAGGAUGCUGGCAUAAUGAUCCCAAACCGCCCG
Molecule: ribosomal RNA, 481 nt
Filed under: Meyerozyma caribbica
Lineage: Eukaryota; Fungi; Ascomycota; Pichiomycetes; Serinales; Debaryomycetaceae
Description: partial large subunit ribosomal RNA
Rfam family: Eukaryotic large subunit ribosomal RNA
Source: RNAcentral